Molecule: long non-coding RNA, 5055 nt
Filed under: Volvox carteri
Lineage: Eukaryota; Viridiplantae; Chlorophyta; Chlorophyceae; Chlamydomonadales; Volvocaceae
Description: long non-coding RNA (VCAR_LNC003537)
Source: RNAcentral
GAGCGCGGCGCACAACUUGCACAAAGGGUCCCCCACAGCGAUACCCCGAUAAUUAUCACAUGUUGAGUCAUCUCCCUCCUUGAGUGCGGGGUACAAUGUAGUGGACGUAAAGGCUAGGCACCCUGUUCGCCUCCCUCGUACACGCAGUUGAAUACUUACGUCCGUUAGGUUGCAAUGGCAUGCCUUGUUCGCCCGUCAUGCCCCUCAGUAGUUGGAUGCUUGUAGUUCUCGGCCAGUGUGGGUUCCCGUUGUGAGGCGUAUGUAUACCUACGCUGUGUGUUAUGUGAAUCCCAUCAAAAUUGACCCCGGUGGGGAUUGAACCCACAGCCUUCGGAUGCUUUCUUCUUUGGAAUCCGACGCGCCACCAUUACGCCACGGAGCCGGUUUUCCGGGAGAACCACAGCGUGCGCUGCUUGGGCCAUAUAUAGUUAGCACAGAGUCCGCCACAGGUGGUGUCCACCACCCUAAUGCCAGUCAUUAGGACUGCUCUACCCUGAUAAAACCCUAAUAAUGGUAGGAACCCUGGCGGUCCCAAUGGUAAAUGCACGCAUGUCCGCACGAUCGGUUCGCUGAUGGCGGAGGGGUCAUGAUUGACCUGUACUGUAUGGCUGAUCGAUGCCGCUUUCUUUCCUCCAGUCAAAUGGCUUGAGGUUGGUCAACAGCUCAAGGGGGAAGAUGGCCUUUUGCUUUGCGAUCACAGGCCGGUUUCUAUUGUUGUUGACGCUGCUGCCAUGGCGUCGGCUCCACACAUGCCACANACGAUCAAGAAGCAGGUUAGGUUCGAUGUGUCGCUCUGGAGGCACUAUGUGCGUUUCUUANNNNNNNNNNNNNNNNNNNNNNNNNNNNNNNNNNNNNNNNNNNNNNNNNNUUAGGUAGGUUGGAGGUGUGCAUGCACCAAAGUGUUUCGUGGUGAAUAGAGUCAAAAGUCCUACUGAAGUUUAUCUGCAUCACGAUAAGUGGUCUGUCUCCGGGCAAUGUAUGCUAAGAAAUGAGGUGGCGCAGGGCAACACGGAGAAUUGAUUUCUCCGUUCCAGAGCCACACCUACAUCCCGCCUGUCUUGCGGCGCAGUUUCCGUUUUCCUCACAGAAUUUGUAACCCGGCUAGCGAUGAGCGCGGCGCACAACUUGCACAAAGGGUCCCCCACAGCGAUACCCCGAUAAUUAUCACAUGUUGAGUCAUCUCCCUCCUUGAGUGCGGGGUACAAUGUAGUGGACGUAAAGGCUAGGCACCCUGUUCGCCUCCCUCGUACACGCAGUUGAAUACUUACGUCCGUUAGGUUGCAAUGGCAUGCCUUGUUCGCCCGUCAUGCCCCUCAGUAGUUGGAUGCUUGUAGUUCUCGGCCAGUGUGGGUUCCCGUUGUGAGGCGUAUGUAUACCUACGCUGUGUGUUAUGUGAAUCCCAUCAAAAUUGACCCCGGUGGGGAUUGAACCCACAGCCUUCGGAUGCUUUCUUCUUUGGAAUCCGACGCGCCACCAUUACGCCACGGAGCCGGCUUUCCGGGAGAACCACAGCGUGCGCUACUUGGGCCAUAUAUAGUUAGCACAGAGUCCGCCACAGGUGGUGUCCACCACCCUAAUGCCAGUCAUUAGGACUGCUCUACCCUGAUAAAACCCUAAUAAUGGUAGGAACCCUGGCGGUCCCAACGGUAAAUGCACGCAUGUCCGCACGAUCGGUUCGCUGAUGGUGGAGGGGUCAUGAUUGACCUGUACUGUAUGGCUGAUCGAUGCCGCUUUCUUUCCUCCAGUCAAAUGGCUUGAGGUUGGUCAACAGCUCAAGGGGGAAGAUGGCCUUUUGCUUUGCGAUCACAGGCCGGUUUCUAUUGUUGUUGACGCUGCUGCCAUGGCGUCGGCUCCACACAUGCCACAAACGAUCAAGAAGCAGGUUAGGUUCGAUGUGUCGCUCUGGAGGCACUAUGUGCGUUUCUUAAAUUCCGAGGUGAUUAGGCACCAGUGUCGGAAGCUUUACGGCAGAUUACAACUGAUCUGAGCGCAGAAUCUACUUACUAAUAAAUAGUACCAGGGCGGUUGAGCGUGUCGGUACGGCUUUGACUAGGUGAUUGGAGAAAGCAUUUGGUAAGGCCCGCCCAGCACACUUCAGUCAAGAGCAGGAUGCCCCUUGGAGGGUCGCAAGUGCCGCCGAGCUGCACCGGCAGGCCAUGUUAGAUGCGCGCAGCGAUGUCAACAAACAGGGAGCUGGCCAUGGUUGGGAGGCAUUUCGCGAUGCGCGGAGGGUAUACAAUGCGGCAAAGGGGAAGACAUGCGCUGCUUGUGAUCUUAUGGUGUUUCGGGUUAUGGUGUCAGCAAAAAAUACCGUACUGAUCCCAGAGUAUUAUUAGGGAGGCAUAUCGGAGCGGCCACGAAACCGUGUUGUCUCAUCGAUGACGGGCUCCGAGUGGCCGAAAUACUUCGAACAGCUGAUGUACGAUGGUGCUGAUGCUGCAGAUAGGGCUGCAGCCGAGCGGAUUGUGAGCUACAUCAAUGUAUGCGAUCGGGAAGGUGGUUAGCGCUCAGGCACUAAGCAGCAUGUGGCGCAUGUGGGGGGCAGAAGAAGGGGAAGUGCAGCUCGACGGCGACGAGGAGGAAGCCAAGUAGCCUCUCGCCGAGGAAGGAGGGUAUGAGGAGGAGGUCUAAAGCCCCAAGCUAAGUAGCGGCAGUGGGAAAGCGGCUGGAGGGCUGAAAUAAGGUGUUGGUUACAGUUGGUUUAUCAACACAGAACACCAUAUAUAUAUCAAAAUCUUUGUAGCUACGUAGAGUCUUCACGACGCGUUGCGACGUGCCUACCCUCCAACACACACAAUUACACACACAAUUACACACACAAUUACACACACAAUUACACACACAAUUACACACACAAUUACACACACAAUUACACACACAAUUACACACACAAUUACACACACACAGACACACACACAGACACACCCAUAGACAUAUGUAGGUAGGUAGGUAGGUAGGUAGGUAGGUAGGUAGGUAGGUAGGUAGGUAGGUAGGUAGGUAGGUAGGUAGGUAGGUAGGUAGGUAGGUAGGUAGGUAGGUAGGUAGGUUGGUAGGUGUGCAUGCACCAAAGUGUUUCGUGGUGAAUAGAGUCAAAAGUCCUACUGAAGUUUAUCUGCAUCACGAUAAGUGGUCUGUCUCCGGGCAAUGUAUGCUAAGAAAUGAGGUGGCGCAGGGCAACACGGAGAAUUGAUUUCUCCGUUCCAGAGCCACACCUACAUCCCGCCUGUCUUGCGGCGCAGUUUCCGUUUUCCUCACAGAAUUUGUAACCCGGCUAGCGAUGAGCGCGGCGCACAACUUGCACAAAGGGUCCCCCACAGCGAUACCCCGAUAAUUAUCACAUGUUGAGUCAUCUCCCUCCUUGAGUGCGGGGUACAAUGUAGUGGACGUAAAGGCUAGGCACCCUGUUCGCCUCCCUCGUACACGCAGUUGAAUACUUACGUCCGUUAGGUUGCAAUGGCAUGCCUUGUUCGCCCGUCAUGCCCCUCAGUAGUUGGAUGCUUGUAGUUCUCGGCCAGUGUGGGUUCCCGUUGUGAGGCGUAUGUAUACCUACGCUGUGUGUUAUGUGAAUCCCAUCAAAAUUGACCCCGGUGGGGAUUGAACCCACAGCCUUCGGAUGCUUUCUUCUUUGGAAUCCGACGCGCCACCAUUACGCCACGGAGCCGGUUUUCCGGGAGAACCACAGCGUGCGCUGCUAGGGCCAUAUAUAGUUAGGACAGAGUCCGCCACAGGUGGUGUCCACCACCCUAAUGCCAGUCAUUAGGACUGCUCUACCCUGAUAAAACCCUAAUAAUGGUAGGAACCCUGGCGGUCCCAAUGGUAAAUGCACGCAUGUCCGCACGAUCGGUUCGCUGAUGGCGGAGGGGUCAUGAUUGACCUGUACUGUAUGGCUGAUCGAUGCCGCUUUCUUUCCUCCAGUCAAAUGGCUUGAGGUUGGUCAACAGCUCAAGGGGGAAGAUGGCCUUUUGCUUUGCGAUCACAGGCCGGUUUCUAUUGUUGUUGACGCUGCUGCCAUGGCGUCGGCUCCACACAUGCCACAAACGAUCAAGAAGCAGGUUAGGUUCGAUGUGUCGCUCUGGAGGCACUAUGUGCGUUUCUUAAAUUCCGAGGUGAUUAGGCACCAGUGUCGGAAGCUUUACGGCAGAUUACAACUGAUCUGAGCGCAGAAUCUACUUACUAAUAAAUAGUACCAGGGCGGUUGAGCGUGUCGGUACGGCUUUGACUAGGUGAUUGGAGAAAGCAUUUGGUAAGGCCCGCCCAGCACACUUCAGUCAAGAGCAGGAUGCCCCUUGGAGGGUCGCAAGUGCCGCCGAGCUGCACCGGCAGGCCAUGUUAGAUGCGCGCAGCGAUGUCAACAAACAGGGAGCUGGCCAUGGUUGGGAGGCAUUUCGCGAUGCGCGGAGGGUAUACAAUGCGGCAAAGGGGAAGACAUGCGCUGCUUGUGAUCUUAUGGUGUUUCGGGUUAUGGUGUCAGCAAAAAAUACCGUACUGAUCCCAGAGUAUUAUUAGGGAGGCAUAUCGGAGCGGCCACGAAACCGUGUUGUCUCAUCGAUGACGGGCUCCGAGUGGCCGAAAUACUUCGAACAGCUGAUGUACGAUGGUGCUGAUGCUGCAGAUAGGGCUGCAGCCGAGCGGAUUGUGAGCUACAUCAAUGUAUGCGAUCGGGAAGGUGGUUAGCGCUCAGGCACUAAGCAGCAUGUGGCGCAUGUGGGGGGCAGAAGAAGGGGAAGUGCAGCUCGACGGCGACGAGGAGGAAGCCAAGUAGCCUCUCGCCGAGGAAGGAGGGUAUGAGGAGGAGGUCUAAAGCCCCAAGCUAAGUAGCGGCAGUGGGAAAGCGGCUGGAGGGCUGAAAUAAGGUGUUGGUUACAGUUGGUUUAUCAACACAGAACACCAUAUAUAUAUCAAAAUCUUUGUAGCUACCUAGACUCUUCACGACGCGUUGCGACGUGCCUACCCUCCAACACACACAAUUACACACACAAUUACACACACAAUUACACACACAAUUACACACACAAUUACACACACAAUUACACACACAAUUACACACACAAUUAC